ACGUGGCUACCUGCCCUUGGGACGGAAAUAUCCCGGGAAACUGGGCCAUGUCCGAUAGGCGAAGACCUCUGGAACGAGUCUUCACCAAAGACGUUUGGGCAUGCUUCUAGACGUUGCCCAAGGAUGGGGCCGCGGCCGAUCAGGUUGUUGGUGAGGUAACGGCUCACCAAGCCUAUUACCGGUACGGGCCGUGGGAGCGGUAGCCCGGAGAUGGGCACUGAGACAAGGGCCCAGGCCCUACGGGGCGCAGCAGUCGCGAAAACUUCGCAAUAAGCGAAAGCUUGACGAGGCCAUCCCGAGUGCCAUCUGCUGAGGAUGGCUUUUACCUGGUAUAGAUAGCUGGGGGAAUAAGGAGAGGGCAAGUCUGGUGUCAGCCGCCGCGGUAAUACCAGCUCUCCGAGUUGUGGGGAUAUUUAUUGGGCCUAAAGCAUCCGUAGCCGGCUGAACAAGUCCCCUGUUAAAUCCAGCGACUAAUCGUUGGCCUGCGGGGGAUACUGUUCGGCUAGGGGGCGGGAGAGGCCGUCGGUAUUCUUGGGGUAGGGGUGAAAUCCUAUAAUCCCAGGAGGACCACCAGUGGCGAAGGCUGUCGGCUAGGACGCGCCCGACGGUGAGGGAUGAAAGCUGGGGGAGCGAACCGGAUUAGAUACCCGGGUAGUCCCAGCUGUAAACGAUGCAGGCUAGGUGUUAGGGCGGCUACGUGCCGCUCUAGUGCCGCAGGGAAGCUGUUAAGCCUGCCGCCUGGGGAGUACGGCCGCAAGGCUGAAACUUAAAGGAAUUGGCGGG
RNAcentral lists this ribosomal RNA (783 nucleotides) under uncultured archaeon. RNAcentral describes it as "bacterial SSU rRNA". It matches the Rfam family "Archaeal small subunit ribosomal RNA", at positions 98 to 872 of the family's 1478-position model. The record is from RNAcentral.